GACGCUUCGCCUUCUUUAUCCUCUCUCUCCUCUCUCUCGAACAUUCUCCCGUUCUCUGUCUCUUGGUCCGAAUGUCUCCAAUCCAACCUAUAAUCUCAGCUCUACGACCAAUUUUUGGUUGUAGAAGGCUGUAAAUGUGUUUGUCGAGCAACUCAUAUGCCAAUAAUCGUUCUCUACAUCAGUCUUUCACUUGUACUAUAAAAUCGCGAGGUUGAUUUCAAACCCUAAUUUCAGAAAACCUAUGAGAUAAGUUAUCUGGUCUAUCUAUUUUAUACUGACUUUUUCGACUAAUUAUUUCGAUUUUCUUGCCUAUUUUGUUGUUCAUGUUAGUUCAAGAUUAGAUUAGUGUUUUCCUAUGUACAUCAAAUAGGGUGAUUUGGUUCAAAAGCUGUUUAUUUAAACUCUAGACCUUUAUGCUAUAUUUUGGUGAUUUGGUUCAAUGUUCUGUGGAUCAUGUAUGUUUAAUUAUAGUUCUUUAUUAGAAACUGGGAAUAUAAACUCCUGUUUAUUGAGCAUGAAUUCUGUAGUUCAUGUAUCCUAUCCUAAGUUGGAAACUGAUACUAACUAAUUUAACAACUACUAAUUCUUGCAGCUUAAUGCAAUUUCAAAAAUAAUUGAUUCAGAAGAUGAAGGCUAAACAUCAGAAGGUAGUUAAAGAAAUGUAAAGACUGUUAAUGUAACAUGCAUACAUCAAGCUAUUUAUCUAUAAAAUAAUAGGAUAUGUGGUUCAAAAUGAGAGCCUGAUAUCCAGAGCUUCCCGAAAUCUGUUAAGAAGAGAAGAAGUACCAAAAGGAAUCCUUACUCUAGAUCCAUAGUUGGUGCAACCUUGGAGGUCAUUCAGAAGAAGAGAGCUGAAAAACAGAAGCCAGGGAUGCUGUUAGGGAGGGCGGGAGGCUGCACUCAGAUGUAGAGGAAAAGCUGAGAAAUUUGAAAAAAAAAAUUACAUAAACAUGAUAAAGAGAGAUAGAGAAGGAUUAAAUAAGUGGUAACAACCAUUUUUGAAGUAAGGUGGUUCGAAGUGGAUAGAUGGUGAAUUUGGGACUGCAGAUUGCUAUCAUGGGAGCUUUAUAUAGAUGCUGAACAGUGACUUUUCGAAUUUGAACUGUCUUGGAAAUAUGAAAGGCUGAUCAAAACGUUUCAUAGUCCAAGAUUACAUUCAUUAUGCUUAUGUUCUCGAUGUAUUUAUUAUUCUGAAUAUUGGGUGAUGUUCCAAGAUAAAUUACCUAGAAUACUGAUAUGCAAUGUGAACAACAAUAAAUGCGCACUGAUUCAUUUAGGCUAUUAAAAUGGCACCGUUUUCAUUGAGCGGGAAAAAAUGAUUGGCAAAACUUCUUGCUUUA
Ipomoea nil (Japanese morning glory) is the source of this 1340-nucleotide long non-coding RNA. RefSeq lists it as uncharacterized. NCBI's taxonomy places the organism in Eukaryota, Viridiplantae, Streptophyta, Magnoliopsida, Solanales, Convolvulaceae. The record is from RefSeq and is a predicted model, not a curated record. The transcript has 5 exons.